UACGGGAGGCAGCAGUGGGGAAUAUUGCACAAUGGGCGCAAGCCUGAUGCAGCCAUGCCGCGUGUAUGAAGAAGGCCUUCGGGUUGUAAAGUACUUUCAGUCGUGAGGAAGGUGUUAAGGUUAAUAACCUUAGCAAUUGACGUUAGCGACAGAAGAAGCACCGGCUAACUCCGUGCCAGCAGCCGCGGUAAUACGGAGGGUGCGAGCGUUAAUCGGAAUUACUGGGCGUAAAGGGCACGCAGGCGGUUAAUUAAGUUGGAUGUGAAAUCCCCGGGCUUAACCUGGGAAUGGCAUUCAAGACUGGUUAGCUAGAGUCUUGUAGAGGGGGUAGAAUUCCGAUGUGUAGCGGUGAAAUGCGUAGAGAUGUGGAGGAAUACCGGUGGCGAAGGCGGCCCCUGGACAAAGGCUGACGCUCAUGUGCGAAAGCGU
Molecule: ribosomal RNA, 429 nt
Filed under: uncultured bacterium
Lineage: Bacteria
Description: bacterial SSU rRNA
Rfam family: Bacterial small subunit ribosomal RNA
Source: RNAcentral